AGAGGGGUGCGAGCGUUAAUCGGAAUUACUGGGCGUAAAGGCGCGUAGGGUUGUUUGUUAAGUUAGAUGUGAAAUGUGCGGGCUUAACCUGCAUUAGUCAUCUGGUACUGGCAGACUAGAGUACAGUAGAGGGUAGCGGAAUUUCCGGUGUAGCAGUGAAAUGCGUAGAUAUCGGAAGGAACACCAGUGGCGAAGGCGGCUACCUGGACUGAUACUGACACUGAGGCGCGAAAGCGUGGGUAGCGAACGGGAUUAGAUACCCCGGUAGUCCACGCCGUAAACGAUGACAACUAACCGUUGGGUCCCUAUAUGGACUUAGUGGUGAAGCAAACGCGAUAAGUUGUCCGCCUGGGGAGUACGACCGCAAGGUUA
RNAcentral lists this ribosomal RNA (372 nucleotides) under uncultured organism. RNAcentral's name for it is "partial 16S ribosomal RNA". It matches the Rfam family "Bacterial small subunit ribosomal RNA", at positions 526 to 896 of the family's 1533-position model. The record is from RNAcentral.